GUCCACGCCGUAAACGAUGUCUAUUAGCCGUUGGGCAGCUUGACUGUUUAGUGGCGCAGCUAACGCGAUAAAUAGACCGCCUGGGGAGUACGGCCGCAAGGUUAAAACUCAAAUGAAUUGACGGGGGCCCGCACAAGCGGUGGAGCAUGUGGUUUAAUUCGACGCAACGCGAAGAACCUUACCAGGUCUUGACAUCCUCGGAACUUUCUAGAGAUAGAUUGGUGCCUUCGGGAAUCGAGUGAC
Molecule: ribosomal RNA, 243 nt
Filed under: uncultured bacterium
Lineage: Bacteria
Description: partial 16S ribosomal RNA
Rfam family: Bacterial small subunit ribosomal RNA
Source: RNAcentral